ACGGGAGGCAGCAGUGGGGAAUAUUGCACAAUGGGGGAAACCCUGAUGUAGCAACGCCGCGUGAGUGAAGAAGUAUUUCGGUAUGUAAAGCUCUAUCAGCAGGAAAGAAAAUGACGGUACCUGACUAAGAAGCCCCGGCUAACUACGUGCCAGCAGCCGCGGUAAUACGUAGGGGGCAAGCGUUAUCCGGAUUUACUGGGUGUAAAGGGAGCGUAGACGGCUUUGCAAGUCUGAAGUGAAAGCCCGGGGCUCAACCCCGGAACUGCUUUGGAAACUGUAGAGCUAGAGUGCAGGAGAGGUAAGUGGAAUUCCUAGUGUAGCGGUGAAAUGCGUAGAUAUUAGGAGGAACACCAGUGGCGAAGGCGGCUUACUGGACGACAACUGACGCUGAGGCGCGAAAGCGUGGGGAGCAAACAGGAUUAGAUACCCUGGUA
This 434-nucleotide ribosomal RNA is filed under the name uncultured Clostridium sp. RNAcentral describes it as "partial 16S ribosomal RNA". It matches the Rfam family "Bacterial small subunit ribosomal RNA", at positions 341 to 792 of the family's 1533-position model. Lineage: Bacteria; Bacillati; Bacillota; Clostridia; Eubacteriales; Clostridiaceae. The record is from RNAcentral.